RNAcentral lists this long non-coding RNA (202 nucleotides) under Nicotiana benthamiana. RNAcentral describes it as "long non-coding RNA (NBEN_LNC028350)". Lineage: Eukaryota; Viridiplantae; Streptophyta; Magnoliopsida; Solanales; Solanaceae. The record is from RNAcentral.
UCGACAGUAGGCAGUCGAUGUUGAGCAGCAAGCCAAGCAGUGAAUUUGUGUUGAGGUAGGACAUUAGAGGUCAACAACAAAUUCUUCCAUUCCACCUUAGGAAAGCUAGGAAGCAUUACAUGGUAUAGUUUCUAAAUAAGGAAUUUGCCUAGCCUGGACAAUCCAGACAGUCUAAGUAAGAGAUCACCUUGCAGUUGUUGAU